ACUCCUACGGGAGGCAGCAGUGGGGAAUAUUGGACAAUGGGGGCAACCCUGAUCCAGCAAUGCCGCGUGUGUGAAGAAGGCCUGAGGGUUGUAAAGCACUUUCAGUGGGGAGGAGGUUUAUUUGGUUAAGAGCUGAGUAGAUGGACGUUACCCACAGAAGAAGCACCGGCUAACUCCGUGCCAGCAGCCGCGGUAAUACGGAGGGUGCAAGCGUUAAUCGGAAUUACUGGGCGUAAAGGGUUCGUAGGUGGUCUAUAAGUUAUUGUGAAAUCCCUGGGCUUAACCUGGGCAGGUCAGAUAAUACUGGUAGACUCGAGUAUGGGAGAGGUAGUGGAAUUUCCGGUGUAGCGGUGAAAUGCGUAGAGAUCGGAAGGAACACCAGUGGCGAAGGCGGCUACCUGGCCUAAUACUGACACUGAGGAACGAAAGCGUGGGAGCAAACAGGAUUAGAUACCCUGGUAGCACAGGG
Molecule: ribosomal RNA, 469 nt
Filed under: uncultured bacterium
Lineage: Bacteria
Description: bacterial SSU rRNA
Rfam family: Bacterial small subunit ribosomal RNA
Source: RNAcentral